CCCCCCAUCUCCAGCGGCAUGUCAUAUCUCUGAUAUUUUCAAUCCCAUCCCCUCAACUGAAAUCACUUUCCCAACUUCCUUACAAUUACCGACAAUAGACUCCCAAACCCUAAACCUGUUUCACCCAAAUUUUCUUUUUCAAAACCUAUUUUUCCAUCAAAUGUCAAUCAUAUGUACCAUCAUUAACCUAGAAAAUAGAUAGGGUGGCUUAGUCAGAGCACAAGAGAAAGGAAAAGACGUUAAUUAAAUUACUCUGCAAACAUCAACAACAACAACAAGCAAUUGAUGACAAUAGUUUGUCUUAGUCCGUAAAAAGAAAUGAUGAAUGAUUCUCUUUACAAAACUUGUCAACUUCAUCACCUUCCCUCCAUUGUUAGCAGCUUGAUGUGAAAUCUGAAACAAUUUUUGAAGACAUGGAGAUAAAUUUAGGUGGCGUUGUAAGGUGGAUGUGUACUUUCAAUUCUUAUUCAAUGGUAUAUUUUCUUAGCUUACCAAGUUAUUGGCGCCGCUGCUGGGGACUCGGUACCGGUGUGGUACCUGCAAUACUGAAGUACAAGCCAAAGAGGAGAAGGACAAAGGAACGAAGCAAGCUUGAUUAUUGUGCCUAAACCCGGUUCUGUACCGGAGGUAUUUUUGGUCAAUAAAAAUUUUUGAAAAAAAUUGGCUCG
Molecule: long non-coding RNA, 668 nt
Organism: Papaver somniferum (opium poppy)
Lineage: Eukaryota; Viridiplantae; Streptophyta; Magnoliopsida; Ranunculales; Papaveraceae
Exons: 4
Source: RefSeq, a predicted model, not a curated record